CAAACGACGUUGAACAAGAUGAGUAAAUUAUUGGUUCCCGCCAGAGAUUGGGUGUCGGCGGCUGAAAGCACCCUCGGUUGAGCAAUAAUUGAACGUGGCUUGGAAGUCGAUCAACUGAACAUAAGUAAGUUGGUUCGGGUGCGCCCGUUAUCGCGCCAAUGAGUGAUGUUGCAAUCGCAACAUAAUCAAGGUGGUACCGCGAGUUUCCUCUCGUCCUUGUU
RNAcentral lists this non-coding RNA (221 nucleotides) under Herpetosiphon aurantiacus. RNAcentral describes it as "T-box sequence". It matches the Rfam family "T-box leader". Rfam says of the family: Uncharged tRNA acts as the effector for transcription antitermination of genes in the T-box leader family. T-boxes are found upstream of many aminoacyl-tRNA synthetase genes and some amino acid biosynthetic genes usually in Gram-positive bacteria. The anticodon of a specific tRNA base pairs to a specifier sequence within the T-box motif, and the NCCA acceptor tail of the tRNA base pairs to a conserved bulge in the T-box antiterminator hairpin. Lineage: Bacteria; Bacillati; Chloroflexota; Chloroflexia; Herpetosiphonales; Herpetosiphonaceae. The record is from RNAcentral.